This is a non-coding RNA of Danio rerio (zebrafish), 287 nucleotides long. The record is from RefSeq and is a predicted model, not a curated record. NCBI's taxonomy places the organism in Eukaryota, Metazoa, Chordata, Actinopteri, Cypriniformes, Danionidae.
UUGCUUGCCCUACUUGGAGUCACCACAGGAGGGCACUCUAGACUAAUAGGAUUUAAGUGAGACAAAGCAGAGUAAGAGCAAUUCACGUUUGUUCACGAGCUAACAGGUACAGCUCGGAAGAAUGCCUUGAGCUUUUAGUGUCCCUUCGGCAAGCAGAGCGAGUUUUACGGUGCUUUGGUGCUUUUGGUGCCUUUGGUCUUUUGAUGCUUCUCUGUAUACAACAAAGAACUGAGACGAUGAUUUAUGUGAUGAACUUUAUUGCAUCCAAGUAAACCUUUUUAAAUGCA